CUUAUAUGGAGAGUUUGAUCCUGGCUCAGGACGAACGCUGGCGGCGUGCCUAAUACAUGCAAGUCGAGCGGACAGAUGGGA
RNAcentral lists this ribosomal RNA (81 nucleotides) under Cytobacillus firmus. Its description in RNAcentral is "Bacillus firmus partial 16S ribosomal RNA". It matches the Rfam family "Bacterial small subunit ribosomal RNA", at positions 1 to 79 of the family's 1533-position model. The record is from RNAcentral. RNAcentral also lists the same sequence under 1 other name. Lineage: Bacteria; Bacillati; Bacillota; Bacilli; Caryophanales; Bacillaceae.